This 506-nucleotide ribosomal RNA is filed under the name uncultured bacterium. RNAcentral's name for it is "partial 16S ribosomal RNA". It matches the Rfam family "Bacterial small subunit ribosomal RNA", at positions 29 to 523 of the family's 1533-position model. The record is from RNAcentral.
AGUGAACGCUGGCGGUAGGCCUAACACAUGCAAGUCGAACGGCAGCACAGGAGAGCUUGCUCUCUGGGUGGCGAGUGGCGGACGGGUGAGGAAUACAUCGGAAUCUACUUUUUCGUGGGGGAUAACGGAGGGAAACUUACGCUAAUACCGCAUACGACCUACGAGAGAAAGAAGGGGAUCUUAGGACCUUGCGCGAUUGAAUGAGCCGAUGUCGGAUUAGCUAGUUGGCGGGGUAAAGGCCCACCAAGGCGACGAUCCGUAGCUGGUCUGAGAGGAUGAUCAGCCACACUGGAACUGAGACACGGUCCAGACUCCUACGGGAGGCAGCAGUGGGGAAUAUUGGACAAUGGGCGCAAGCCUGAUCCAGCCAUACCGCGUGGGUGAAGAAGGCCUUCGGGUUGUAAAGCCCUUUUGUUGGGAAAGAAAUCCAGCUGGUUAAUACCCGGUUGGGAUGACGGUACCCAAAGAAUAAGCACCGGCUAACUUCGUGCCAGCCGCCGCAGUAA